Molecule: long non-coding RNA, 1714 nt
Filed under: Manduca sexta (tobacco hornworm)
Lineage: Eukaryota; Metazoa; Arthropoda; Insecta; Lepidoptera; Sphingidae
Description: uncharacterized LOC119193815
Source: RNAcentral
UACACAAUUUCGCACAACCGUCGUAAAGUUACGUAAUUCACUUCCAAUUUCAGUCACUCUUGGCAAUGAUCGAACUUUCUGUAUGGCAGCCCUUUAAUUUGCAGCAGUAAAUCUGAUGGCCAAACGCGUCUUCUAACGCCUCGAUGAUCUCUUUAGGGUAACAGCAGGUUUGCAGCUGGUAUUCAAUGACUGUUUUUAAAGCAAGGUACCACUGGUUGUUACAAAAAUACUAGAAAAAAAACCCUACCCCUUCCCAAUUCACAGUAGGAGAUGGUAUCACGAGUAAUACUAUGGGUUUUCAUCGGUUUAAAACAAGAUUGCUCCUCAUAUUAUAUUUACUUCGAAUUUACAUCAAAAAUACAGAAUGAUUGAAAACAUUAUAGCAAAAAGUUAUUGGGAAGUCGACGAUCCCUAUGUAAAUUAUCGAUUCUGCAAAAUUGCAUUUUGCACAUGCAAUACUUUACGUAGGAACCGUGGAAUAAACAUCGCUUGUUUAGUAUUAAAUACCAUGGCGAUAAGCACUUCGAUCCUUAUUGUCUUAAACAAAUGCAGUUCAUUUUCAUAAGGACCGUUUAAAUAUCGACAGUUUCUACGCAAAGUAUUGAAUCUACAAAAUGCAAUUUUGCAGAUUCGAUAUUAUACAUAGGGACCGUCGAAGUAUAAUAUUCAUAGAAGUAAUUUCUAUUAACAUUAAAGCAUAAAAUAUAUUACAUUUCGAGCAUUUAACGAAUGUCAAGUUCCUACAACCAAAAUACAUUUAGAAACUUGCUAUCUCCAGCUUUAACUCUUGCCGCCUUAUUACAAAAACAUAGCUUAGUACUGGGUUUAAACCAAGACUAAAAAGUCUAGGUUUGUUACGGUAUUAACGUUAGUUCUUGGACUAAAAUUCAUUCUUAUUACAAAUCCAAGACCAACUGAGGAUUAUCUAGUACCAAAGAUAGUCCCUGGUUUAAUUAAUAUCCACAGAUUAUAGGCAAAAAAUUACAGUGAUCCAUUUAUUCAUUCACUCGGCGAUUGCCGCAGCGUUCCUUUACACAUAAGCUUGUAUGAAUGGAAGGGCAAAAUGUGUAAUAAAAUGUGAUUUUGAUGAUGAUGAUGAUAAUGCUAAUUAUAUACUAUUUUGUCAUUUAAAUAUAUCUUAAAGCUGAAUAAUUGUAAUUGGCAUGAAUUAUAUUUUUGAUUCAUUGCUUACUUUGUAUUUAGCUAGCGUAUAACGGAAUGAAGUGUGCGGCGCGCGUACUUGAAUAUUAUCGAAAAGUUUACAUAGAAGUUUAUUUAUGGUUCUAUUUAAUAGCACUUAAAGUAACAUAAAGCACCGUUGUUCGUUUAUAACUAUUUAGGCACAGCAACAGCGUUAUAAGUGCAUUUGUUUUAGUUGUGUAAUCACGUACGCAACGUAUACUUAUAUCGUUAGUUAUUCCAAUUGAAAAUGGAACAAUCAAAGAAAAAAAGGGGUGAAAGUUGGACUUUUGAAGAAAAGGUUAGUUCAAAUCAAUUAUCUUGUUAAUAAACAAUGCAAUAAAGCAGAAUUUUAUUCAAUUAAUACGACUUUCCUUCUUAUUCUAGGAAAUACUACGUCAACUUAUUUCGGAGUCAGCUCACAUAUUAGAAAAUAAAUCAACUAAGACGAAUACCAAUAUGUUGAAAUCCAAAGAAUGGAAAAAUAUAACAAAUAAUUGAACUGAACGAACUUAUGGGAAGAAAUCGAACUAAU